GCCUGGCGGGCUCAGUGGGUAGAGCAUGUGACUCUUGAUCUUGGGGUUGUGAGUUUGAGCCCCAUGUUGGGUG
RNAcentral lists this transfer RNA (73 nucleotides) under Ailuropoda melanoleuca (giant panda). It matches the Rfam family "tRNA". Rfam says of the family: Transfer RNA (tRNA) molecules are approximately 80 nucleotides in length. The record is from Rfam by way of RNAcentral. Lineage: Eukaryota; Metazoa; Chordata; Mammalia; Carnivora; Ursidae.